AGGUCUGUCGCGAGCAACCCCACACCAUGCACCAACGCCACUGCUCCCAGCAGGAGUGAGUUUUGCAGUAGUGGCGGCAGCCCCGCGCCCAGGCCGAGCAGAGUCAGGGCCGCCAGCGCCGUGAGCAGCAAGGGGAAGGGCAGGUUGUAGAGCACCAAGCCCCCACGAACGCCCAGCCGCGCCUGCGAGCCAUAAGGGUCGUGUGGUUGGCAAGUCAUUUAACUUUUCCAAGCAAAUCUGCAAAAUGGAGAUAACAGCACCUGCCUCAUUGGGUUGUGAAGAAGAUGGAAUGUUUAGCAUGGUGCCCAACACCCAGUUCUCAUUCUGUCAUCCAGGCUGGUGUGCAGUGGUGCAAUGAGUGCUCACUGCAGCCUUGACCUCCAGGUCAAGGGAUUUCCCACCUCAACCUCCAGAAUCGCUGGGACUACAGCUCAACAAUGCCCCCCUUAAAGUCGGACUCUUGGAAAUGAACCUCGUUGGGAGUAAAGCUGAACCUGCACCUCUCCUUUCCAGGACUCUCCUCCAUUCAUACGGCCUCACACUGAAUUAAUGUUUCUAGCCGCCACAUCAUGUUACCCAACUGAUCUAGUAGUAAGGUGUUCCCAUCUCUU
Mandrillus leucophaeus (drill) is the source of this 611-nucleotide long non-coding RNA. RefSeq lists it as uncharacterized. NCBI's taxonomy places the organism in Eukaryota, Metazoa, Chordata, Mammalia, Primates, Cercopithecidae. The transcript is spliced from 4 exons. The record is from RefSeq and is a predicted model, not a curated record.